GGGUUGGUGGCGCAGUAGGUAGCGCGUAGGUCUCAUAAUCCUGAAGUCGAGAGUUCGAUCCUCUCCUAACCCA
Molecule: transfer RNA, 73 nt
Organism: Gregarina niphandrodes
Lineage: Eukaryota; Apicomplexa; Conoidasida; Eugregarinorida; Gregarinidae
Rfam family: tRNA
About the family: Transfer RNA (tRNA) molecules are approximately 80 nucleotides in length. Their secondary structure includes four short double-helical elements and three loops (D, anti-codon, and T loops). Further hydrogen bonds mediate the characteristic L-shaped molecular structure. tRNAs have two regions of fundamental functional importance: the anti-codon, which is responsible for specific mRNA codon recognition, and the 3' end, to which the tRNAs corresponding amino acid is attached (by aminoacyl-tRNA synthetases). tRNAs cope with the degeneracy of the genetic code in two manners: having more than one tRNA (with a specific anti-codon) for a particular amino acid; and 'wobble' base-pairing, i.e. permitting non-standard base-pairing at the 3rd anti-codon position.
Source: Rfam